CUAAUAAUACCCUUCUUCUGCUAUAUUCUUUACAAUGCCAACUCCCGUUUCCAGAUCCCAGUCGCUGCGCUCGGUAUUGUGGGGCUAUGUACCUAGUCCCUGCCGCCUUCAGUUGACGAGCAACCUACGCCUAGCAAUACGCUUGCCGCAACCACUUCUCAUCCUUUAAUGCUAUCAACUUCAUCCCGUGUAAGCUAAGUUAUGCACAAACUAUUUUCUUAACAUAACAUACAUCUAAACUUUUCUACCAUAUUAGCUUUUUUCGCUUUCAACCAUUUAUUCGUUAUUCCUAGUAUAAUUUGCUUUCUCAUUUUUAUCUCACAAGGAUAGAUAAUAUUUUUAUUUAAUCUUAGUGAGAUCGAACUUCUAAAUAAGGAUGUCAAGUAGUUGUGGAGGUAGUCUACCACACUAGCUAGCUAGCAAAGACCUCACAGUCCAGAGUAGGGGAUGCUUUUCUUCUUUUAUCUUUGCUUUUAUCCUUUUUUUGUGUUUUGACUGAAGAAUGUACUGUAUUAAAUGACGGGAUGAACUAAUCUAACUUUAUUGGUGCGAAUAAAGUCUUUAAGGAAUUAAGCGUCCCGCUUUGUUAAUGCAGAUAUAAUUAGCAGAAUUUCUUAAAGAAUUUACAAAGCCACUAAAAUUUGAGUUUUAACAAUUAACUCGAAUUUCUACAAAAGCAUAUAUUUGUGAGUUGUAGAAAAUAAGUAAAAGAGAAAGAAAUGAAAAUGUAAAGAAGUCCUUUGUUUAAGAGAUGAUAUGGGUAUUUAUAAUACUUCUAGAGGGCCGGUAGAAUUAACAAAUUCAUCUCUUCAUAAAUAGGAACAUUUUACAACCAAUAGUCACCUUUUUGAAUUUAAAUCUUUUUUGUUAAAAAUAUUUUUCCUCAAAUUAAUUUAAAAAUGGGUAUUAAUUAAUUAAUAAAAUAAUAGGUGACUAUAAUAUUAAUUCCAGGCUAUUCAAUAUGCAAUCUUGUUUAUUAGUAAUACAGUUAAAUUUUAAUAUUUCUCCAAAACAUCUAUUAAAAUAUUUAAAUUAUAUAAGACAAAAAAGUACUUUUAAACACUUCUUCCUUUUUUUAUUUUCUAAUAAAGUACAAACCAAACUCUUUUCAAACACUAACUAAUCUAACAUGCAUAUCAGCGAGGAAGUAAGGGAAUUAGAAGAACAAUUUUGUUUUCUUCGUUUUAGUGCCCCAGGUAGCAGUUAUAUUGGAUUUUACGUUGAUUAUACGUGCCAUUGUAUACGUUUGAGAAGAGUCAGUGAACUUCAUUCUCUUUAUGCUAUUUCUGCUCACAGAAGAUUAGAACAAUACAGUUGAAUGAGAAAACCAUUCUGUUCUUGAAUAAUAGACAUUAACCUGACGCAAAUUAUAGCUAGGCCUAUAGCAGUCAGGGUCAUUUGGUAGGAUACAUUAGAUAAAAUAGUCUCGCAUUAACUUUUAUAGCCACACAAAUAUUAUAGCCAUACAAAACUUUUAUCUCUUAAUAUGUCAGGACCAUAUUUUUAAAAGUUUUAUUUUUAUUUUAAAAUUUAUGUUUAGUCAAAUUAUCUAUUUAAAUUGAAACCGAGGGAAUACGGAGGAAGACUUUUGGAAUCAAAAUCAAUGGCAUAAAGUAAAAAGUUUCGUGCAAGAAAAGGAAGUCGAAAGGGGCAAGUAGAUCGCUUCGUGUCAUGGAGUCAAUAAUCAUCAAUUAAAGGUAUGCCUUAGAAUUUACAGGCAGCGGUCCCGUGGAAAAUGGUACAACUCCUACCUUUCUGGUCAAAUUGCUUGUAUUUUCUCAAAAUAUGAUGUUCCCAUCACCAAAAUGAUAACAUCAUGUCUUCCUUUGACCUCCUAUGUGUCCUUGUACACUUUUAAAAUAAUAUGGCAUUAUUCGAAAACUAAUUAAGUAAUUUUGGUAGCAAUAAAUGAGAUUAGAGGCGGAUUUACAGUAUAAAAUAUGGUUCACGUGAACCUAUAAUCUUCGGGUUUAUAUUGGUAAAAAUCUGACCAUGCGACCAUGACGGCAAUAAUCCCACCCGAAUCAUCUCACGAAAAAGAUGGAGCUUGAUUCCGACUUGUCAUCAUUCUAGGACAUGCAACGGGUCUACGGUCCCACCACGACAGAGGAACCCCUCAUCAACUCAGCCAUGACGAAUGGUGAUAAGCUAGUGGAGCUUUCGACUAUAAAUAUAAGGAAAUAGAACUUUGAAAGGGGGUCUUCUUCCUCUCCAUUGCUAAGAACCCCAAAAAGGGAUAAAUAUACUCCAUGAAUAGAACCUUGACCCUAUGGGCAAGGAAAAUUCAGUUUAUGAUUAUCUGUGAUCGGGGCAAUUUGAUUGUAAUGACCUGAACAUCUUCAAGGAGAGACAUGCAAAGUUUCUAUAAUCAAUAAAGGCUCUAAGCAUACCAUUUUUUUAUCCCACAUUUUCUAUAUUUCAAUUCUGUCUUCUAAACCAGUAUUAAUUAUGAUUGACUAUGAUUUACCCUUGAGUUCUUAUGAUUGAUUUACUCGGAAAGUAUUCGAUAUCUUUUGAGUCAAACAAUUUGGCGCCAUCUGUGGGGAUUCCCUAGUGUAAAUACCUAGUUCUUCCUCGAUUAAAGCCAAGGAAACACCAGAAAGAAAAUCCAACUCGAGUAAGAGUCGGGGACCGCAAAUCGGGAAAAGAAGAAUCGGAUGCGUCAGCCGGAGCUAAAAUUUUCUGCCCUAUUGAUCUCGAACAACCAAAACAAAGAGAGAAGCGAUGCAAAGCAUCUCCCCUCCGGGCAGAAGUACGAAGCAUUGCUCCCCAUCCCCCACACCGCGUCAGGUCAGAAACCGGCGUAGAGGUGUUCCAAACGGGGAAUCAAAAAUCACCCUGAGGCAAUUCGAACGCUGCAGUCUGGAAAACAACCAUAGCACAUGUACGACAGAAGACCACAGGUCAAAAUGAAGUCUCGGCGUUUUAACGCCUGUGGCAUCGAACAGUCGAUGUAUACAACGGAAAGGCUAAGUGCAUUCGCCAUUGAAGUAGAUGGCUUGACCUCGUUCAAACUAUAAGGCUAAGCGCCUUCGCUAUCAAAAUUGGCAGUUCGACCUCGUUCGAAUUGACUAAGGCUAAGAGCCUUUGCCAUCAAAAUCGACAAUUCAACUUUGUUGGAAGUGGGACUCAGGUUAAGUGCCUUUGCCAUCGAAGUAGAUAGUUCAUCCUCGUUCGAACUAGACGGAUAAGCGCAUUCGCCAUCAAAAUCGAAAGUUUGACUUCGUUCGAACUGACUAAGGCUAAGUUCAUUCGCCUUCAAAUCGGCAAUACGACCCCGUUCUAAUUGGGACUGAGGCUAAGCGCCUUCGCCAUCAAAAUCGGCAGUUCAACCUCGUUCGAAAUGACUAAGGCUAAGUGCCUUCGCCAUCAAAAUAGACAGUUCGACUUCGUUCGAAGUGGGACUCAGGCUAAGUGCCUUCGCCAUUAAAGUAGAUAGUUCGACCUCAUUCGAACUAUAAGACUAAGUGCCUUUACCAUCAAAAUGGAGAGUUCGACCUGACUAUGGCUAAGUACCUUCGCUAUCAAAAUUGACAGUUCGACCCCGUUCGAACUGGGACUCAGGCUAAGCGCCUUUGCCAUCAAAAUCGGCAGUUCGACCUCGUUCGAACUGACUAAGGCUAAGUGCCUUCACCAUCAAAAUCGACAGUUCGACCUCGUUCGAACGGGGACUCAUGCUAAGUGCCUUCGCCAUCGAACUAGAUUGUUCGACCUCGUUUGAACUAUAAGACUAAGCACAUUCGCCAUCGAAAUUGGCAUUUUGUCCUCGUUCGAACAGGCUAAGGCUAAGUGCCUUUUCCAUCAAAAUCGAUAGUUCGACUUCGUUUGAACUGGGACUCUGGCUAAAUGCAUUUGUCAUCGAAAUAGAUAGUUCUACCUCGUUCGAACUAUAAGGAUAAGCGCCUUUGCCAUCAAAAUCGAUAGUUCGGCCUUGUUCGAAUUGAGUAAGGCUAAGUGCCUUCGCCAUUAAAAUUGACAGUUCAAUCCCGUUCGAACUGUAGAGCCUUCUCCAUUAAAAUCGGCAAUCGAGCUCGUUCGAACUGACGAAGGCUAAGUGCCUUGGCCUACAAAAUUGACAGUUCGACCUCAUUCGAACUAACUAAGGCUAAGUACCUUCGCCAUCAAAAUCGACUGUUCGACUUCAUUCGAACUGGGGCUCAAGUUAAGUGCCUUCGCCAUCCAAGUAGAUAGUUCGACCUUAUUCGAACUAUAAGGCUAAGUGCCUUCUCCAUCAAAAUUGAUAGUUUGACCCCAUUCAAACUGGGACUUAGGCUAAGUACCUUCGUUAUCGAAGUAGAUAGUUCGACCUUGUUCGAACUAUAAGGCUAAGUGCCUUCACCAUCAAAGAAGAUAUUUUGACCAUGUUCGAACUGGGACUAAGUCAAAGUGCCUCCGCCAUCAAAAUUGACAGCUAUACCUCGUUUGAACCAAGUCUUAAGGCUAUGUGCAUUUCCAUCUAAGUGGACAGUCCGACCUCGUUCGAACUGGGGCACAAGAUACAUGCCUUCGCCUCCAAAUUAAGGUGUUUGACUUCAUUCGAACUAUACGUUGACCCCGAUGGAACUCGAGACGGGAUGUGAGCACAUGAUUUUUGCCCUAUAUUUGAAUUAUUUCCA
This 4616-nucleotide long non-coding RNA is filed under the name Nicotiana benthamiana. RNAcentral's name for it is "long non-coding RNA (NBEN_LNC022013)". Lineage: Eukaryota; Viridiplantae; Streptophyta; Magnoliopsida; Solanales; Solanaceae. The record is from RNAcentral.